RNAcentral lists this ribosomal RNA (484 nucleotides) under uncultured bacterium. RNAcentral's name for it is "partial 16S ribosomal RNA". It matches the Rfam family "Bacterial small subunit ribosomal RNA", at positions 30 to 507 of the family's 1533-position model. The record is from RNAcentral.
AUUGAACGCUGGCGGCAGGCCUAACACAUGCAAGUCGAGCGGAUGAAGGGAGCUUGCUCCCGGAUUCAGCGGCGGACGGGUGAGUAAUGCCUAGGAAUCUGCCUGGUAGUGGGGGAUAACGUCCGGAAACGGGCGCUAAUACCGCAUACGUCCUGAGGGAGAAAGUGGGGGAUCUUCGGACCUUACGCUAUCAGAUGAGCCUAGGUCGGAUUAGCUAGUUGGUGGGGUAAAGGCCUACCAAGGCGACGAUCCGUAACUGGUCUGAGAGGAUGAUCAGUCACACUGGAACUGAGACACGGUCCAGACUCCUACGGGAGGCAGCAGUGGGGAAUAUUGGACAAUGGGCGAAAGCCUGAUCCAGCCAUGCCGCGUGUGUGAAGAAGGUCUUCGGAUUGUAAAGCACUUUAAGUUGGGAGGAAGGGCAGUAAGUUAAUACCUUGCUGUUUUGACGUUACCAACAGAAUAAGCACCGGCUAACUUCGUG